RNAcentral lists this long non-coding RNA (1046 nucleotides) under Homo sapiens (human). Its description in RNAcentral is "HSALNT0265676". The record is from RNAcentral. Lineage: Eukaryota; Metazoa; Chordata; Mammalia; Primates; Hominidae.
ACACACCUCCCUGCAGCCUGGCACUGGAAACUGCUGAGCCAUGCAGGGCAGCCUGGUGGCGGCUAGGACACUUCUGCAGAGGACCUGGAGUUGGGCUGCUCCCGGGGCUCCCAUCUCUUGCUGGGUCUGUUUUCAGGUGCACCCUCCUCCUCCAGGAGGCAGGGGCAAGACCAGCUUCAGCCCUUCUUGCUCUCCAUGCUUUUCCUCAGCCCCCAGACUUAGAGAAGAUCACACGCAAGAGCUUGGAAGUCCUGGGAGGAAGUAUGAUCCCGAAUCCUGGCACACUUGAUCAUGCGUGACAGGGACUUAAGAAAGCCCCUAAUUAUAGCCGUGUGGGGUUUGUCUCCCUUCUGAAGCUUGGCGCCCGUGUGCUCAAGGCAAGGGCGUGACCAAGGUAAGAGACCCCUUCUCUCCCUUAGGCAGAAGUCCUAGCAGAGUAUGCCCACGCUGGUUAGUGCUGCUGCAAAGAUGAGCCGAAGACCAUGAGAGACCUCCAGGUGGUCCUUCUGGGGAGAAGAAAUGGGUUUUGGCCCCAAAUCCUUCUGCUGCAUUUUUCCCCUAUCCCUGGGAAGCCAUGAGACCUCAAACCUGUGUUCCCAAGGAGGCGAGCUGCUGUUCCCAGGUGAUGAUAUGAUGUGCUUGGGGAAAGUAAGUGGCUGCCAGACAUGGCUGAGAGCUGUUGUCACUGCCGUCAAGUGCAUGUCUCCAAGCCAUAUCACACGGCGUCCCUCGAUGUGAGGCCACAUGGCAAGUGGGCCGUGGAUCUCCCUCUGCCCUUUGCAAGCACGUAAGACAGCAGAUUUUGCAGAUACCUUGUGGCGCAGGGGAAUUUCCUUUGGCCAGGUCUGAAGAAAUAAAGCAGCAGGCACCGAGAACAAAGCCAAGGCUUUCAAAAGACAAGGAGCCAAAAAACUUACUCAAAAUAAAAGUAGUUUUAAAAUGUCUCUGCCAUUGGUAGUCUCAUUUUCUUUUUAAUGUAGGAAAUAGUCAAGUAUUAAAAUGACCAAAAUGAAACAAGUGCCUCAUGGACUGAGAAGGAAGGAGGA